GCCCGGAUGGUGGAAUGGUAGACACGCUGGACUUAAAAUCCAGUUGCCAUUGAGGCUGUGCGGGUUCAAGUCCCGCUCCGGGUA
RNAcentral lists this transfer RNA (84 nucleotides) under Bacteroidota bacterium. RNAcentral's name for it is "Bacteroidetes bacterium (anaerobic digester metagenome) tRNA-Leu". It matches the Rfam family "tRNA". Rfam says of the family: Transfer RNA (tRNA) molecules are approximately 80 nucleotides in length. Their secondary structure includes four short double-helical elements and three loops (D, anti-codon, and T loops). Lineage: Bacteria; Pseudomonadati; Bacteroidota. The record is from RNAcentral. RNAcentral also lists the same sequence under 1 other name.